Molecule: ribosomal RNA, 464 nt
Filed under: uncultured Colwelliaceae bacterium
Lineage: Bacteria; Pseudomonadati; Pseudomonadota; Gammaproteobacteria; Alteromonadales; Colwelliaceae
Description: bacterial SSU rRNA
Rfam family: Bacterial small subunit ribosomal RNA
Source: RNAcentral
GAGAUGUGGGUAGUCCGCACGAGCGCACCCUAUCCUUAUUUGCCAGCGCGUAGUGGCGGGAACUUUAAGGAGACUGCCGGUGAUAAACCGGAGGAAGGUGGGGACGACGUCAAGUCAUCAUGGCCCUUACGGGAUGGGCUGCACACGUGCUACAAUGGCAGGUACAGAGGGCAGCAAUACCGCGAGGUGGAGCGAAUCCCACAAAGCUUGUCGUAGUCCGGAUUGGAGUCUGCAACUCGACUCCAUGAAGUCGGAAUCGCUAGUAAUCGUAGAUCAGAAUGCUACGGUGAAUACGUUCCCGGGCCUUGUACACACCGCCCGUCACACCAUGGGAGUGGGAUGCAAAAGAAGUGGCUAGUUUAACCUUUCGGGGAGGACGGUCACCACUUUGUGUUUCAUGACUGGGGUGAAGUCGUAACAAGGUAACCCUAGGGGAACCUGGGGUUGGAUCACCUCCUUAUCUU